ACAAGUACCGUGAGGGAAAGUUGCAAAGAACUUUGAAGAGAGAGUUCAAGAGAACGUGAAAUCGCUGAAGUGGAACCGGAGAGAGUUAACAUAACUUGGUAGCUAUAUUCUCUAUAGUCGCUUAGCUGUGGCUUUGGGGGGUGGACGCUACCUGUUGUUGCGCUGACUGCGUUGAUCAUACUUUCCUAACAAUGUAGUGUUGCCCACAUUGUGGUGUCUUGCUUAUUGGGAGGUUUGUCAUGGUUAACGUCAAGCCUUAGUUUCUAGGGAGUCAGUGUGAAAGUUAACCACCUUUCCGACCCGCCUUGAAACACGGACCGAGGAGUGUAAUUUACACGCGAGUCAAAGGGCUGAGGAAACCUUAUGGCAUAAUGAAAGUAAAGACCGGUUAACCGGUUGACAUGGGAUCCGACUGAACUUCUUCGAAACGGAGCACCAUGGCCCUGUCUUGUCUGCUUGCAGAUGGGCAGCGGUAGAGCGUGUAGGUUGCGACCCGAAAGAUGGUGAACUAUGCUUGAGCAGGACGAAGCCAGAGGAAACUCUGGUGGAAGUCCGUAUCGGUUCUGACGUGCAAAUCGAUCGAUAGACUUGAGUAUAGGGGCGAAAGACUAAUCGAACCGUCUAGUAGCUGGUUCCUUCCGA
Molecule: ribosomal RNA, 642 nt
Filed under: Heterorhabditis indica
Lineage: Eukaryota; Metazoa; Nematoda; Chromadorea; Rhabditida; Heterorhabditidae
Description: LSU rRNA
Rfam family: Eukaryotic large subunit ribosomal RNA
Source: RNAcentral